This 22-nucleotide microRNA is filed under the name Bombyx mori (domestic silkworm). Lineage: Eukaryota; Metazoa; Arthropoda; Insecta; Lepidoptera; Bombycidae. The record is from RNAcentral.
UCACUGGGUGCGUGAUGAUUGU